GAGUUUGAUCAUGGCUCAGGACGAACGCUGGCGGCGUGCCUAAUACAUGCAAGUAGAACGCUGAAGAGAGGAGCUUGCUCUUCUUGGAUGAGUUGCGAACGGGUGAGUAACGCGUAGGUAACCUGCCUUGUAGCGGGGGAUAACUAUUGGAAACGAUAGCUAAUACCGCAUAACAAUGGAUGACACAUGUCAUUUAUUUGAAAGGGGCAAUUGCUCCACUACAAGAUGGACCUGCGUUGUAUUAGCUAGUAGGUGAGGUAACGGCUCACCUAGGCGACGAUACAUAGCCGACCUGAGAGGGUGAUCGGCCACACUGGGACUGAGACACGGCCCAGACUCCUACGGGAGGCAGCAGUAGGGAAUCUUCGGCAAUGGGGGCAACCCUGACCGAGCAACGCCGCGUGAGUGAAGAAGGUUUUCGGAUCGUAAAGCUCUGUUGUAAGUCAAGAACGAGUGUGAGAGUGGAAAGUUCACACUGUGACGGUAGCUUACCAGAAAGGGACGGCUAACUACGUGCCAGCAGCCGCGGUAAUACGUAGGUCCCGAGCGUUGUCCGGAUUUAUUGGGCGUAAAGCGAGCGCAGGCGGUUUGAUAAGUCUGAAGUUAAAGGCUGUGGCUCAACCAUAGUUCGCUUUGGAAACUGUCAAACUUGAGUGCAGAAGGGGAGAGUGGAAUUCCAUGUGUAGCGGUGAAAUGCGUAGAUAUAUGGAGGAACACCGGUGGCGAAAGCGGCUCUCUGGUCUGUAACUGACGCUGAGGCUCGAAAGCGUGGGGAGCGAACAGGAUUAGAUACCCUGGUAGUCCACGCCGUAAACGAUGAGUGCUAGGUGUUGGAUCCUUUCCGGGAUUCAGUGCCGCAGCUAACGCAUUAAGCACUCCGCCUGGGGAGUACGACCGCAAGGUUGAAACUCAAAGGAAUUGACGGGGGCCCGCACAAGCGGUGGAGCAUGUGGUUUAAUUCGAAGCAACGCGAAGAACCUUACCAGGUCUUGACAUCCCGAUGCUAUUUCUAGAGAUAGAAAGUUACUUCGGUACAUCGGUGACAGGUGGUGCAUGGUUGUCGUCAGCUCGUGUCGUGAGAUGUUGGGUUAAGUCCCACAACGAGCGCAACCCCUAUUGUUAGUUGCCAUCAUUCAGUUGGGCACUCUAGCGAGACUGCCGGUAAUAAACCGGAGGAAGGUGGGGAUGACGUCAAAUCAUCAUGCCCCUUAUGACCUGGGCUACACACGUGCUACAAUGGUUGGUACAACGAGUUGCGAGUCGGUGACGGCAAGCUAAUCUCUUAAAGCCAAUCUCAGUUCGGAUUGUAGGCUGCAACUCGCCUACAUGAAGUCGGAAUCGCUAGUAAUCGCGGAUCAGCACGCCGCGGUGAAUACGUUCCCGGGCCUUGUACACACCGCCCGUC
Molecule: ribosomal RNA, 1405 nt
Filed under: uncultured bacterium
Lineage: Bacteria
Description: bacterial SSU rRNA
Rfam family: Bacterial small subunit ribosomal RNA
Source: RNAcentral